Long non-coding RNA from Clupea harengus (Atlantic herring), 717 nucleotides. RefSeq lists it as uncharacterized. The record is from RefSeq and is a predicted model, not a curated record. The transcript is spliced from 2 exons. NCBI's taxonomy places the organism in Eukaryota, Metazoa, Chordata, Actinopteri, Clupeiformes, Clupeidae.
CUUGUAGUGUUCAAUAUUGUCUAUCCUUAGUGCGUUCACACAAAAUCAUAUCAUACUAUCUCAGUGUCAUAGCAUUAAUACAUUAUGCAUAAGUAGCGUAUUUUAGUCUCCACACCAAGUGCUGUGGCCUGUUGUGUUAGGAUGUGCUAGUACAGUGUUUUUCAACCUUUUUUGCGUCAAGGCACACUUAAGACACAGAAAAAAUCUCACGGCACACCAACAACCGGAAAUGAUAUGAAAAUCAAACCCAUACAUAGUUUCAGCAUGAGCAUAAUAUACUCUAAGAAAUCAGGGAAACGCGUGUUCUAUUUGUUAUGUUUUAUUAAACUUAACAUCAUCCUAAUGCCAAGAUGGCACAGGCUUUAUGCCCAGGUACAGAUAAUUUUGGACAGGCUGCAUUACCGCCACACACCUGUAGAACAAAAGACAUGCAAUUAGAACAACAACUGUCAUGGUAUAUGAACAUCCUUAAGUACUAGCUCCAUCCACAAAGCGCACGUUAGCCAGGAGUUGGGCAUGGCCACUUAUAUCUGUCGACUCAUCGAGUUGCAAAGCAAAUUUCCCGCUGCAGCGUAUCUUCUCCAAAACAAUGCUCUCGAUGUCAGCAGACAUGUCAUCAAUACGUCUCGCUAUGCUGUUAUCUGAGAGGGGAACUUUAGCAAUCUCCUUCACUGCAUCUGGGCCUAGCAUGACAUUGACAAUGGCUUUGCAGGCGGG